This 458-nucleotide ribosomal RNA is filed under the name uncultured bacterium. RNAcentral's name for it is "bacterial SSU rRNA". It matches the Rfam family "Bacterial small subunit ribosomal RNA", at positions 340 to 787 of the family's 1533-position model. The record is from RNAcentral.
UACGGGAGGCAGCAGUGGGGAAUAUUGCACAAUGGGCGAAAGCCUGAUGCAGCUAUGCCGCGUGUAUGAAGAAGGCCUUAGGGUUGUAAAGUACUUUCAUCGGGGAGGAAAAACAAAACUAAUAAUUUUAUUUCUUGACGUUACCCGAAAAAGAAGCACCGGCUAACUCCGUGCCAGCAGCCGCGGUAAUACGGAGGGUGCUAGCGUUAAUCAGAAUUACUGGGCGUAAAGAGCACGUAGGUGGUUUUUUUAAGUCAGAUGUGAAAUCCCUGGGCUUAACCUAGGAACUGCAUUUUGAAACUGAAAUACUAGAGUAUCGUAGAGGGAGGUAGAAUUCUAGGUGUAGCGGUGAAAUGCGUAGAUAUCUGGAGGAAUACCUGUGGCGAAAGCGGCCGUCCUAAACGAAUACUGACACUGAGGUGCGAAAGCGUGGGGAGGCAAACAGGGAUUAGAGUACC